This 264-nucleotide ribosomal RNA is filed under the name uncultured bacterium. RNAcentral's name for it is "partial 16S ribosomal RNA". It matches the Rfam family "Bacterial small subunit ribosomal RNA", at positions 793 to 1055 of the family's 1533-position model. The record is from RNAcentral.
GUCCACGCCCUAAACGAUGUCAAUUAGCUGUUGGGGGUUAGAAUCCUUGGUAGCGUAGCUAACGCGUGAAAUUGACCGCCUGGGGAGUACGGCCGCAAGGUUAAAACUCAAAGGAAUUGACGGGGGCCCGCACAAGCGGUGGAUGAUGUGGAUUAAUUCGAUGCAACGCGAAAAACCUUACCUGCUCUUGACAUGUAACGAACUUGGCAGAGAUGCCUUGGUGCCCGAAAGGGAGCGUUAACACAGGUGCUGCAUGGCUGUCGU